Molecule: ribosomal RNA, 827 nt
Filed under: Pseudoacremonium sacchari
Lineage: Eukaryota; Fungi; Ascomycota; Sordariomycetes; Hypocreales
Description: LSU rRNA
Rfam family: Eukaryotic large subunit ribosomal RNA
Source: RNAcentral
UGCCUCAGUAACGGCGAGUGAAGCGGCAACAGCUCAAAUUUGAAAUCUGGCCUUCUGGCCCGAGUUGUAAUUUGCAGAGGAUGUUUCUGGCGAGGUGCCUUCCGAGUUCCCUGGAACGGGACGCCAUAGAGGGUGAGAGCCCCGUACGGUUGGUCGCUAAGCCUCUGUGAAACUCCUUCGACGAGUCGAGUAGUUUGGGAAUGCUGCUCUAAAUGGGAGGUAUACGUCUUCUAAAGCUAAAUACCGGCCAGAGACCGAUAGCGCACAAGUAGAGUGAUCGAAAGAUGAAAAGCACUUUGAAAAGAGGGUUAAACAGUACGUGAAAUUGUUGAAAGGGAAGCGUUUGUGACCAGACUUGGGCCGGUUGAUCAUCCAUCGUUCUCGGUGGUGCACUCUGCCGGCUCAGGCCAGCAUCAGUUUGGCCCGGGGGAUAAAGGUUCCGGGAAUGUGGCUCCUCCGGGAGUGUUAUAGCCCGGUGCGUAAUACCCUGGGGCAGACUGAGGUACGCGCUCCGCAAGGAUGCUGGCGUAAUGGUCAUCAGCGACCCGUCUUGAAACACGGACCAAGGAGUCGUCUUCGUAUGCGAGUGUUCGGGUGUCAAACCCCUACGCGGAAUGAAAGUGAACGUAGGAGAGAGCUUCGGCGCAUCUCCGACCGAUCCUGAUGUUCUCGGAUGGAUUUGAGUAAGAGCAUACGGGGCCGGACCCGAAAGAAGGUGAACUAUGCCUGUAUAGGGUGAAGCCAGAGGAAACUCUGGUGGAGGCUCGCAGCGGUUCUGACGUGCAAAUCGAUCGUCAAAUAUGGGCAUGGGGCGAAAGACUAAUCGA